Molecule: ribosomal RNA, 506 nt
Filed under: uncultured bacterium
Lineage: Bacteria
Description: partial 16S ribosomal RNA
Rfam family: Bacterial small subunit ribosomal RNA
Source: RNAcentral
AGUGAACGCUGGCGGUAGGCCUAACACAUGCAAGUCGAACGGCAGCACAGGAGAGCUUGCUCUCUGGGUGGCGAGUGGCGGACGGGUGAGGAAUACAUCGGAAUCUACUUUUUCGUGGGGGAUAACGUAGGGAAACUUACGCUAAUACCGCAUACGACCUACGGGUGAAAGCAGGGGACCUUCGGGCCUUGCGCGAUUGAAUGAGCCGAUGUCGGAUUAGCUAGUUGGCGGGGUAAAGGCCCACCAAGGCGACGAUCCGUAGCUGGUCUGAGAGGAUGCGCAGCCACGCUGGAACUGAGACACGGUCCAGACUCCUACGGGAGGCAGCGGUGGGGAAUAUUGGACAAUGGGCGCAAGCCUGAUCCAGCCAUACCGCGUGGGUGAAGAAGGCCUUCGGGUUGUAAAGCCCUUUUGUUGGGAAAGAAAUCCAGCUGGCUAAUACCCGGUUGGGAUGACGGUACCCAAAGAAUAAGCACCGGCUAACUUCGUGCCAGCCGCCGCCGUAA